AAUGUUUUAAGUUAAAAAAACUAAUGGCCUUCAAAGCCGUAAAUGGGCAAGUUGCCCAGACAUUA
RNAcentral lists this transfer RNA (65 nucleotides) under Chthamalus challengeri. Its description in RNAcentral is "tRNA-Trp". Lineage: Eukaryota; Metazoa; Arthropoda; Thecostraca; Balanomorpha; Chthamalidae. The record is from RNAcentral.